CCGGCGCUAAGUCACGCUGUGACGUCAUUCCCCUCACUCAUCCCUCUGGCCCGCGCUUUAUCAUCUCGCGUUGUCGCAAGAAGAAAGGUCUAAAGAAGCCAGAUAUGUUUCUGCUUGUUUUUGUGUGCUGUGCCAAUUUCCAUGAGAAGAACACAUCUCUGGUCCCAAGAAGAUGAGAGGCGUGUGGAACAAAGCCACUCCAGUCUAGCUAUCCCAGCUCAGCCCGGCCUACACCAGCUGACUCCCAGCUGACCUGCAGAUCCGUGGGGAGAAAAAAGGAAGAACACCAUGUAACAAGAGACAGAUACUAGAGUGACGUCACUGUAAGCCCAGAAACACCGAGAAUUGUUGGGAACCACCAGAAGCUGGAAGAAGCAAGGAACACACUCUCCCUCAGAACCUGCAGAAGGAACCAGCCCUGCCUACACACCUUGAUUUUGGACUUGUAGCCUCCAGAAGUGCAAAUUGCAGAGCCUGCUCAGAUUCGGGAGGAGGAAACAGACUCCACGUGUUGAUAGAGGAGUGAUAGAGGUCCACAGGCAUGGAAGGACUUGGUGUCCAUCUUUGGAAACAGUCUCAAACAAGGAUUGUGUCCACCUGAGUUUGAGUAAAUGCAGAAAGAAUUGGCUUAUGGCGUUGAGGAGAGCCUGAAGCACAGAACCAUUGAGGGUUUUGCUGAAUGCAAUGGAACCACCGUCUCUGGAACACCAGGGGCCGGUCGCCAUAGAAGCAGUCAACCUGAACCGUUGCAGGGUGUUUAUCUUCAGGAAUCUUGAGGCCCACCCCCAGGAGCCCUGGGCUUCCAGGAGGAUCACUGCCCCUCUGACAAGCAUGCACGUUCCAGGGGACCAGGGGCUGUGCUUCCUGAACACAACUGGGACAGGAGCUUAUGGAAAUGGAUUGAGAUGAAUAGACGCCCAGAGCCAAGUUCACAGAUGCUGCACGUUGAGAAGUGCCAUGUCCCUAAGCACCCUGCCGGAGGGUCCCCUUAAUUUGGCAACUGUAAAGUAAACAUCUCUUCUUUCACAUAGCCCUUGCCCUACAGGCCACGGCCCCACAUAGAUAACUAUCCCUCAGCUGAGGUGGCCACUCAAGCCCAUGGCUUCGCUGCCUCUGGGCAGCCCCCCUAUCCUGACGCGGGCAGCCCCCCUAUCCUGACGCAGACAGCCACGGUGCCUCGUGAAAAAAUGCCCCGAAUGAGAGAGGAACGUUCACCUAGGGGAGUGCCGGGCUACUGAAAUGUGGUGAUCUUCUUCAGGUGUUGGUAAGCCAACAGAUAAAAACAUUUAGAAAGCAGAAAUGAGAAACAGUUACAUUGGAAAGAGGUGAAGGGAAGCAGACUUCAAAAAGACUGACCGCCUCCCCCCCACCAGGUAGAAAACCAAAUAAAAGAGGAAAACCACAGGCUUACAAAUUGGGCAAACUUAUAUUCUUUUCUCCAUGGUGGGAAAAAAGUAACUUUUUCACACGCCUGUCAUAUCCUCAUGCGUUGGCAUCGUGAAAGUCAGGCACAGAGCUGCAUCUUGUUUAGGGAGUUCAGGUUUGUUAGGAACUGCUCCAGUCUUUAUUAUCUCGUGGACCAGACAUAGACAGAGUGGCACUAUUAUUUUUGCUUUAUCUCAGGGUGAAAGUUCUUUCUUUCUUUUUUCUUUUUUUUUCUGUUUCCUGACCGUGGUAUGUCAUAUCCUUGAUCAGAAUGGAGCAGAGAAAAAUACCAGGUUUGCUCUGGAGUCCCUCCUUUGUUCGUUCAAGUUCCUGCCCCAAAGGUGCAGAUUUGACCGCCUAUGACGCUUCAUGAUUUUCUGAUUCAGUAUCAUUAAUAUGAUGUUUUCUUUAAUUCGAUGACUUUAUUUUCAUAGGAGUAAUGAAUGUUUAAUACACAAAGACCCUCUGUACAUUAAAAGAACUAGAGCCACAUGAUAUUAAAGUUUAAGAAUUCCUUCUCUCUGGAGGCCUUAUAAAGCUCCGAGCGGUAUAAGUU
Molecule: long non-coding RNA, 1981 nt
Organism: Neofelis nebulosa (Clouded leopard)
Lineage: Eukaryota; Metazoa; Chordata; Mammalia; Carnivora; Felidae
Exons: 6
Source: RefSeq, a predicted model, not a curated record